Molecule: ribosomal RNA, 371 nt
Filed under: uncultured bacterium
Lineage: Bacteria
Description: bacterial SSU rRNA
Rfam family: Bacterial small subunit ribosomal RNA
Source: RNAcentral
ACGUAGGGUGCAAGCGUUAAUCGGAAUUACUGGGCGUAAAGCGUGCGCAGGCGGACUUUUAAGCCAGAUGUGAAAGCCCCGAGCUUAACUUGGGAAUUGCGUUUGGAACUGGGAGUCUAGAGUCUGUCAGAGGGGGAUGGAAUUCCACGUGUAGCAGUGAAAUGCGUAGAGAUGUGGAGGAACACCGAUGGCGAAGGCAGUCCCCUGGGAUAAGACUGACGCUCAUGCACGAAAGCGUGGGGAGCAAACAGGAUUAGAUACCCUGGUAGUCCACGCCCUAAACGAUGUCUACUAGUUGUUGGGGUAGCAAUACCUCAGUGACGCAGCUAACGCGUGAAGUAGACCGCCUGGGGAGUACGGUCGCAAGAUUA